RNAcentral lists this ribosomal RNA (502 nucleotides) under Veillonella parvula. RNAcentral describes it as "bacterial SSU rRNA". It matches the Rfam family "Bacterial small subunit ribosomal RNA", at positions 28 to 499 of the family's 1533-position model. The record is from RNAcentral. Lineage: Bacteria; Bacillati; Bacillota; Negativicutes; Veillonellales; Veillonellaceae.
GACGAACGUUGGCGGCGUGCUUAACACAUGCAAGUCGAACGAAGAGCGAUGGAAGCUUGCUUCUAUCAAUCUUAGUGGCGAACGGGUGAGUAACGCGUAAUCAACCUGCCCUUCAGAGGGGGACAACAGUUGGAAACGACUGCUAAUACCGCAUACGAUCUGACCUUGGCAUCGAGGAUAGAUGAAAGGUGGCCUCUACAUGUAAGCUAUCACUGAAGGAGGGGAUUGCGUCUGAUUAGCUAGUUGGAGGGGUAACGGCCCACCAAGGCGAUGAUCAGUAGCCGGUCUGAGAGGAUGAACGGCCACAUUGGGACUGAGACACGGCCCAGACUCCUACGGGAGGCAGCAGUGGGGAAUCUUCCGCAAUGGACGAAAGUCUGACGGAGCAACGCCGCGUGAGUGAUGACGGCCUUCGGGUUGUAAAGCUCUGUUAAUCGGGACGAAAGGCCUUCUUGCGAAUAGUGAGAAGGAUUGACGGUACCGGAAUAGAAAGCCACGGCUA